AUACUUACCUGGCAGGGGAGAUACCAUGAUCCCGAAGGUAGUUUUCCCAGGCUGAGGCUUAUCAUUGCACUCCAGAUGUGCUGACCCCUGUGAUUUCCCCAAAAGUGGGAAACUCGAUUGCAUAAAUUGUGGUAGUGGGGGACUGCAUUCGCACUCUACCCUA
RNAcentral lists this small nuclear RNA (163 nucleotides) under Carlito syrichta (Philippine tarsier). RNAcentral's name for it is "U1 spliceosomal RNA (ENSTSYG00000034672.1)". It matches the Rfam family "U1 spliceosomal RNA". From Rfam's summary of the family: U1 is a small nuclear RNA (snRNA) component of the spliceosome (involved in pre-mRNA splicing). Its 5' end forms complementary base pairs with the 5' splice junction, thus defining the 5' donor site of an intron. Lineage: Eukaryota; Metazoa; Chordata; Mammalia; Primates; Tarsiidae. The record is from Rfam by way of RNAcentral.